RNAcentral lists this transfer RNA (66 nucleotides) under Zygothrica sp. 6f PMO-2008. Its description in RNAcentral is "tRNA-Trp". Lineage: Eukaryota; Metazoa; Arthropoda; Insecta; Diptera; Drosophilidae. The record is from RNAcentral.
AAGGCUUUAAGUUAAAAAAACUAAUAGCCUUCAAAGCUAUAAAUAUGGAUAUUCCCUUAAGCCUUA